GUGAUGGUCAGGAUGUGGGGAGCUUCUUCCAUAAAGCAGAGUCUGAUGGCUGGAAGAAUCUAGAAUUAUAUCAGAAGAAAGGAAAAAUUAGUGGGAAAUGACUUGACUUUACACUCGGUGGUUUGGAACAUUCCAGAGUCGAGAGAAGUUCUUCUUGUCACACGUGAUUUCAUAAUAAUUACGGCCAGCUGUGCCUGGGCAAUUCAGGUCAAGCCAGAUGCCAAAACCCAACUCAAACACUUACAGGAAGAUCCUCCUCAUGAAGAGCCUCCUAACAUCCUGUAGAAAAUCAGAAAAGAUGUGUGUGGAUCCUCUGGGGGCGUCCGUUGGAAGAAAGCCGCUUGCGGGUACUAGGCUGCCCGUCGGGGUCGGAGAGUUUUCACCUAUUUCCACAUCCUCCCGGAGGAAAGUCCGUCCGCCUUCCGAUGUAUAGUCGCGUGGGUGUCUCAGACAUCCUGAGAUGCUGUCUGGCACCGGCAAUUAAGACGUACCAAUAUUUUCUACUCCCUGAUAUGAUGCAAUGAGAAGGGCAUAUCACUUCUGUGGUGUUCUUCCCCCAAAUCUAUAACCUCAAGCUACCCAGGAGACAACAUCAGACAAACCCAAACUGAGGGGCAUUUUACAACAUACCUGAGUAGUAGUCAUCAAAACUGUCAAGAUCCCAAAAGAUAAAGAAAGACUAAGAAAUUGUAACAGAUUGGAAGAGACCAAGGAGAUAUGACAACUAAAUGCAAUGUGGUGUCUUGGAACAGAAAAAG
RNAcentral lists this long non-coding RNA (758 nucleotides) under Equus asinus (donkey). RNAcentral's name for it is "lncRNA (ENSEASG00005038804.1)". Lineage: Eukaryota; Metazoa; Chordata; Mammalia; Perissodactyla; Equidae. The record is from RNAcentral.